AUGAUGAUGACGGGACGGGGGUUCGGCCGCUGGGCGCCGCGUAACGAGGGGCCCCGCAGACUAACCGGGGCGUGGGGUCCGGCGGUUCCUCGGUGCAGUCCUUCCCGUUCCUCACGUCUUCUGGGCUCCAAGCGGGCUGCCUUCCCCCUCAUGUACAGCAGCCGGGAGCUGGGGGACGCUGCCUCCUCCAGUCCAUGGGAAGCCCCCAGGGAGAGCUCACAGCUGGCAGGUUUCAGUCCAGGUCUCCACCCUGGCUCAGCUGUAUAUCCACCACACAGCCCUCAAAUCACACUGGUAUCCCCACAACCCUUCCCCUUGGGUCAUCCUGUGGGUAGAGGAGCACUGAGCAACACUGGGACAUUUCUAUGGGCCCACAGGUAUUUGCAGCAGCAAACUCAUAGAGCAGACAGAACAUGAAUUACCUCCUCAUUAAGCUCCUGCCUCGUGCUACUGAGGCACAUAAAGAACCUCACACGUCACAUCCCAGCCGCGUACAAAGCUGUCUCCAUGCUGCAUAAAUCAUGCAUAGCCACAUCAUCUGUUAGAGAUGCACAAAGCCGCACUCGCUAAUUAUGCUGAGGAGUACAGCAUUACCUGCAGGAUGCAGCUGCAGUCAGCAACGUACAAUUAGUAAGGCAUAUGCUUCUAGAUUUGAAUGUUACAGCUCUGAUUUUUGCCUCCUUCAGUACAUGGCAGCUCAUACAUCUGGAAGAGGUUGCUGGGACUCUGCAUUCAAUUAACAUCAACAACUUCUGCUUUAUCGCUUUGGAAUGAAACCACAGCACCAAGUGAUUCCAUGCAAGACCCCAGAUGAGUAAGUCCCAGAUGUCUUAUUACACACAGGCUUUUCAUAGCCUAUUUCCAAAUUGGAAAGUGACUUACGAAGCUAAAAUUACCUCUUAUCUACUGAUAUUAUGUGACAUCCACUAGCCAGACACAGGAUUGCUGGGAGAAGACCAGAGCUUACAGUUAUGGCACUCCUAAGGUAUUUUUAAACUAAGUUCACACAGAGGCCCAUGCAAGCACACAGGAUGGAAGCUGUGUGUGCCCCUCUGAUCAGCAGCACAAAUGCCACAUGAUGGGUGUGCCAACAAUACCAGUGGUGUAUCCAGCAAGAGCUAAGGCCAGUUUGAAACCUAUAAAUCUAUUUACAGUAGCAAGGCUCGGUGUAGACUUGUGUUCUCCCAUAUCUACCUGGCUCCAUCUUCAAACAGCAUGGGAAAAAAAAAAAGACACGUCUCCAGUUGUGCUGCUUCCCCUCACAGCAUUAUUUACUUUAGUGCCUGUCCUUGGCAUCAUUCACACUCUGCUGACACCAUUUUUUAGGCUUCAAGUAAUGCUUGUGCUGCACUUCAGCAAACUGAGUGUAAUGCACCAGAGUCCUCUGCUCUCUCCUGAACUUGCAUUCACCUGGAAA
RNAcentral lists this long non-coding RNA (1417 nucleotides) under Coturnix japonica (Japanese quail). RNAcentral describes it as "lncRNA (ENSCJPG00005008839.1)". The record is from RNAcentral. Lineage: Eukaryota; Metazoa; Chordata; Aves; Galliformes; Phasianidae.